GUUGGCGGGGAGAAUGGAAAUCACCGCUAUCUUGUGAUAGCCUUGGGUUAAUCUUAGUUUUAACAUAAUUUUAAGUCUUAACUUGCAUGCAAUUUACUUAAUAGGUGACACUUCCCCAUCGGUAGGGGAAAUGCACAAGGUAUUUUGCAUCAAAGAGGGUGUAUCACCCUUGGAGAUGCUGGGAAGUGGAGAUAUUCUUGAGAAAUUCAAGAGUUUUUUACUUCUCUACUCUACUAAGUAUCUUUAAGAGUGAGAGACUCUCAUAGAUACUGUAGAGUACAACAUUCACGCCUGGCGGUCCUUAGUUUAGUGAUAAGUUCAAUCUAUGAUUAGCAACUAUUUAUCAUCAUUUUUUGAUACUUUAAAAUUAGAGAUAUUCUUGAGAAAUUCAAGGGUUCUCUAAUGAGUAUCAUUGAGAGUAAGAAACUCUUAUUGAUACUGUCUUGUACAAACAUACACUCCUGUUGAUUCAGGUAUUCUCUUAGUUCAGUCCAAGUUAAGAUUUGUAACUGUUUAUCUACAUUAUAUAAAAUUGCUUUGUUUUGUAAGUGCUUUACAAGUUUGUUGCAGCUUAGCCUACCAAAUGAAUCCAAGUGCACCAUUGUAGAUAUUUUUUAAAAGCAGGAUUGAUGAACAACUAAACAAACAAUAUUGUGGAGAUACAUGUGAAUUAUAAUGGAGAUGCCACCAGCUAUUCAAUGCAUUGGAGAGCAGCUCUACUACCAAAGUGGAGAUGUGGAUCACUGGAUGUGGAUUGAUGAACAACUAAAC
Nilaparvata lugens (brown planthopper) is the source of this 771-nucleotide long non-coding RNA. RefSeq lists it as uncharacterized. The record is from RefSeq and is a predicted model, not a curated record. The transcript is spliced from 3 exons. Lineage: Eukaryota; Metazoa; Arthropoda; Insecta; Hemiptera; Delphacidae.